CGGGGUGUAGCGCAGCCAGGUAGCGCACCUGAAUGGGGUUCAGGUGGUCGGAGGUUCGAAUCCUCUCACCCCGACCA
RNAcentral lists this transfer RNA (77 nucleotides) under Dehalococcoidales bacterium. Its description in RNAcentral is "tRNA-Pro". It matches the Rfam family "tRNA". From Rfam's summary of the family: Transfer RNA (tRNA) molecules are approximately 80 nucleotides in length. Their secondary structure includes four short double-helical elements and three loops (D, anti-codon, and T loops). Lineage: Bacteria; Bacillati; Chloroflexota; Dehalococcoidia; Dehalococcoidales. The record is from RNAcentral. RNAcentral also lists the same sequence under 1 other name.